RNAcentral lists this ribosomal RNA (760 nucleotides) under uncultured bacterium. RNAcentral describes it as "bacterial SSU rRNA". It matches the Rfam family "Bacterial small subunit ribosomal RNA", at positions 28 to 776 of the family's 1533-position model. The record is from RNAcentral.
GAUGAACGCUAGCUACAGGUUUAACACAUGCAAGUCGAGGGGCAGCAUUUCAGUUUGCUUGCAAACUGGAGAUGGCGACCGGCGCACGGGUGAGUAACACGUAUCCAACCUGCCGAUAACUCGGGGAUAGCCUUUCGAAAGAAAGAUUAAUACCCGAUGGUAUAAUCAGACCGCAUGGUCUUGUUAUUAAAGAAUUUCGGUUAUCGAUGGGGAUGCGUUCCAUUAGGCAGUUGGUGAGGUAACGGCUCACCAAACCUUCGAUGGAUAGGGGUUCUGAGAGGAAGGUCCCCCACAUUGGAACUGAGACACGGUCCAAACUCCUACGGGAGGCAGCAGUGAGGAAUAUUGGUCAAUGGGCGCAGGCCUGAACCAGCCAAGUAGCGUGAAGGAUGACUGCCCUAUGGGUUGUAAACUUCUUUUAUAUGGGAAUAAAGUUUUCCACGUGUGGAAUUUUGUAUGUACCAUAUGAAUAAGGAUCGGCUAACUCCGUGCCAGCAGCCGCGGUAAUACGGAGGAUCCGAGCGUUAUCCGGAUUUAUUGGGUUUAAAGGGAGCGUAGGUGGACAGUUAAGUCAGUUGUGAAAGUUUGCGGCUCAACCGUAAAAUUGCAGUUGAUACUGGCUGUCUUGAGUACAGUAGAGGUGGGCGGAAUUCGUGGUGUAGCGGUGAAAUGCUUAGAUAUCACGAAGAACUCCGAUUGCGAAGGCAGCUCACUGGACUGCAACUGACACUGAUGCUCGAAAGUGUGGGUAUCAAACAGG